GAACCUCCAAAAAGCCAAUCGGUCAACGUUCUUCAACCUCCGCCAUGGCCACACGUGAGACUCCGGCUCUCUCGCGAAUUCCCGUACUUUUCCUCUACAAUGAGGAAUUCGGGGACCUUGAAAGCCGAGUGUUGAAGGAUUCAGUUUGGUGAACAUUAGAAGAUUAUGAAGGAAACCAAUACAGAUAGGUUAUUAACCCAAACGCUCCGGGUCGUUGAUAACUGGCCCGCGAUGCAUUUCCGGGAGGCUACUGCGUAGGCCUAAACUCAUUCCGGGGUCUUAUCUCAUCUUAUGACGCCCGGCAUCGAGAUGCCGUCACCAUACAUGACGACUGGAGUUUGGGCCAAGAAGGUGACGUCUACUCUGCAUGCCAUCUGGAUGAGUUGGGUUAACAUGAGACUUCAGGGCUGCAUUACAACCCAGCUACCAAGCAGUAGCACGGCUAGCUGACAUGACCUGCUCUUGUUGAUGUUGUCUAACAGAUACAGAGGUUGGCUGGCUUGCUUGCUUGCAAUGCUUGAAGUGAUUUGGACGCAACAGCAAAAGUUAUACAUGGCCUGUGAAUAACAAUGGGUCUACUUGAGGGAGGCAGUAAGAAGAUGGAAAAUGUUACCCAAGAUAAAGGCUGACUGAAGAAAUAUAGAAAAGCUGGAGGAAGUGUAAGAAAGGAUACCAGGAGCAGGUGGAGAAUGGUUCUACAAACUAUCACAUGUGAUAAAGUGUAAUAAAGAUUUAUUUAAA
This 741-nucleotide long non-coding RNA is filed under the name Penaeus japonicus. Its description in RNAcentral is "uncharacterized LOC122246967". Lineage: Eukaryota; Metazoa; Arthropoda; Malacostraca; Decapoda; Penaeidae. The record is from RNAcentral.